ACAAAAAGCUAAAGCUUUUGGUGGUAUACGAUGGAUCCGCGUCUGAUUAGCUGGUUGGCGGGGUAAAGGCCCACCAAGGCGACGAUCCGUAGCCGGCCUGAGAGGGUGAACGGCCACAUUGGGACUGAGACACGGCCCAAACUCCUACGGGAGGCAGCAGUGGGGAAUAUUGCACAAUGGGGGAAACCCUGAUGCAGCGACGCCGCGUGAGUGAAGAAGUAUUUCGGUAUGUAAAGCUCUAUCAGCAGGGAAGAAAAUGACGGUACCUGACUAAGAAGCCCCGGCUAACUACGUGCCAGCAGCCGCGGUAAUACGUAGGGGGCAAGCGUUAUCCGGAUUUACUGGGUGUAAAGGGAGCGUAGACGGCAGCGCAAGUCUGGAGUGAAAUCCCAUGGCUUAACCAUGGAACUGCUUUGGAAACUGUGCAGCUGGAGUGCAGGAGAGGUAAGCGGAAUUCCUAGUGUAGCGGUGAAAUGCGUAGAUAUUAGGAGGAACACCAGUGGCGAAGGCGGCUUACUGGACUGUAACUGACGUUGAGGCUCGAAAGCGUGGGGAGCAAACAGGAUUAGAUACCCUGGUAGUCCACGCUGUAAACGAUGAAUACUAGGUGUUGG
Molecule: ribosomal RNA, 614 nt
Filed under: uncultured bacterium
Lineage: Bacteria
Description: bacterial SSU rRNA
Rfam family: Bacterial small subunit ribosomal RNA
Source: RNAcentral